UAGUCCACGCCGUAAACGAUGUCUACUAGUUGUUGGGACCCUUGAGGUCUUAGUGACGCAGCUAACGCAUUAAGUAGACCGCCUGGGGAGUACGGUCGCAAGAUUAAAACUCAAAUGAAUUGACGGGGGCCCGCACAAGCGGUGGAGCAUGUGGUUUAAUUCGACGCAACGCGAAGAACCUUACCUACUCUUGACAUCCUGAUAAUUCGCUAGAGAUAGCUUAGUGCCUUCGGGAAAUCAGUGACAGGUGCUGCAUGGCUGUCGUCAGCUCGUGUCGUGAGAUGUUGGGUUAAGUCCCGUAACGAGCGCAACCCUUGUCCUUAGUUGCCAGCACGUAAUGGUGGGAACUCUAAGGAGACUGCCGGUGACAAACCGGAGGAAGGCGGGGAUGACGUCAAGUCAGCAUGCCCCUUACACCCUGGGCUACACACGUGCUACAAUGGGCAAGACAAUUAGUUGCAAGCUUGUGAAAGUUGCUAAUCUCUAAACUUGUUCUAAGUUCGGAUUGU
Molecule: ribosomal RNA, 509 nt
Filed under: uncultured bacterium
Lineage: Bacteria
Description: bacterial SSU rRNA
Rfam family: Bacterial small subunit ribosomal RNA
Source: RNAcentral